This 486-nucleotide ribosomal RNA is filed under the name uncultured bacterium. RNAcentral's name for it is "partial 16S ribosomal RNA". It matches the Rfam family "Bacterial small subunit ribosomal RNA", at positions 30 to 507 of the family's 1533-position model. The record is from RNAcentral.
AUUGAACGCUGGCGGCAUGCCUUACACAUGCAAGUCGAACGGCAGCACGGGGCCUCGUACCUCUUGGCGAGUGGCGAACGGGCGAGUAAUACAUCUGUACAUGUCCUGCAGUUGGGGAUAGCUCGGCGAAAGCCGGAUUAAUACCGCAUACGUACCGCCGCUGAAAGCGGGGGACGGUCCUGCCUCGCGCUAUCGGGCUGGCCGAUGCCGGAUUAGCUAGUUGGUGGGGUAAAGGCCUACCAAGGCGACGAUCAGUAGCUGGUCUGAGAGGACGACCAGCCACACUGGAACUGAGACACGGCCCAGACUCCUACGGGAGGCAGCAGUGGGGAAUUUUGGACAAUGGGCGAAAGCCUGAUCCAGCAAUGCCGCGUGUGUGAAGAAGGCCUUCGGGUUGUAAAGCACUUUUGGCCGGAAAGAAAGGCUUAGCGCUAAUACGGUCGGGGAAUGACGGUACCGGAAGAAUAAGCACCGGCUAACUACGUG